This 432-nucleotide ribosomal RNA is filed under the name uncultured bacterium. RNAcentral describes it as "partial 16S ribosomal RNA". It matches the Rfam family "Bacterial small subunit ribosomal RNA", at positions 29 to 507 of the family's 1533-position model. The record is from RNAcentral.
ACGCACGCUGGCGGCAUGCCUAACACAUGCAAGUCGAACGAGACCUUCGGGUCUAGUGGCGCACGGGUGCGUAACGCGUGGGAACCUGCCCUUAGGUUCGGAAUAACUCCCCGAAAGGGGUGCUAAUACCGGAUAAUGUCUUCGGACCAAAGAUUUAUCGCCUUUGGAUGGGCCCGCGUUGGAUUAGCUAGUUGGUAGGGUAAAAGCCUACCAAGGCGACGAUCCAUAGCUGGUCUGAGAGGAUGAUCAGCCAUACUGGGACUGAGACACGGCCCAGACUCCUACGGGAGGCAGCAGUGGGGAAUAUUGGACAAUGGGCGAAAGCCUGAUCCAGCAAUGCCGCGUGAGUGAUGAAGGCCUUAGGGUUGUAAAGCUCUUUUACCCGGGAUGAUAAUGACAGUACCGGGAGAAUAAGCUCCGGCUAACUCCGUG